RNAcentral lists this ribosomal RNA (337 nucleotides) under Ruminococcus flavefaciens. Its description in RNAcentral is "partial 16S ribosomal RNA". The record is from RNAcentral. Lineage: Bacteria; Bacillati; Bacillota; Clostridia; Eubacteriales; Oscillospiraceae.
GGAGUCUGGGCCGUGUCUCAGUCCCAAUGUGGCCGUUCAACCUCUCAGUCCGGCUACUGAUCGUCGACUUGGUGAGCCGUUACCUCACCAACUAUCUAAUCAGACGCGAGCCCAUCUCUGAGUGAUAAAUCUUUGAUAAUCAAAAGAUGCCUUUCAAUUAUAUUAUGAGGUAUUACCAUCCGUUUCCAGAAGCUAUCCCUCUCUCAGAGGCAGGUUGCUCACGUGUUACUCACCCGUCCGCCACUAAGAACUCUCAGUAAACCAAAAGUUCUCCGUUCGACUUGCAUGUGUUAGGCGUGCCGCCAGCGUUCGUCCUCGUAGCCAUGAUCAAACUACU